GACGAACGCUGGCGGCGUGCUUAACACAUGCAAGUCGAACGGAAAGGCCCUGCUUGCAGGGUACUCGAGUGGCGAACGGGUGAGUAACACGUGGGUGAUCUGCCCUGCACUUCGGGAUAAGCCUGGGAAACUGGGUCCAAUACCGGAUAGGAGCCAUUCUUAGUGUGAUGGUUGGAAAGUUUUUUCGGUGUAGGAUGAGCUCGCGGCCUAUCAGCUUGUUGGUGGGGUAAUGGCCUACCAAGGCGGCGACGGGUAGCCGGCCUGAGAGGGUGGACGGCCACAUUGGGACUGAGGUACGGCCCAGACUCCUACGGGAGGCAGCAGUGGGGAAUAUUGCACAAUGGGCGCAAGCCUGAUGCAGCGACGCCGCGUGGGGGAUGACGGCCUUCGGGUUGUAAACUCCUUUCGCUAGGGACGAAGCUUUUUGUGACGGUACCUAGAUAAGAAGCACCGGCUAACUACGUG
This 465-nucleotide ribosomal RNA is filed under the name uncultured bacterium. RNAcentral describes it as "partial 16S ribosomal RNA". It matches the Rfam family "Bacterial small subunit ribosomal RNA", at positions 28 to 507 of the family's 1533-position model. The record is from RNAcentral.